GUGAAUCAUCGAAUUUUUGAACGCAAAUUGCACUCUCUUCGGAGAGUAUGCCUGUUUGAGGGUCAGCCUAAAAAAAAUCGACAUAGUUGCUGUUACGCGGUGACUUUCGUCGGAGAUUGGGUUAUCUUAAACCUUUUUUUUUUUUUUGGUUUAAGCGACUUAAAAUUUUUUUUCCCGUUUCCUUGAACGUUUUUAAGUUUUUUUUUUUUUUUCCUUUUAAGUUUUUUGGU
RNAcentral lists this unclassified non-coding RNA (230 nucleotides) under Glomus sp. RNAcentral describes it as "partial contains 5.8S ribosomal RNA and internal transcribed spacer 2". The stretch from base 1 to 65 matches the Rfam family "5.8S ribosomal RNA", at positions 84 to 154 of the family's 154-position model. Lineage: Eukaryota; Fungi; Glomeromycota; Glomeromycetes; Glomerales; Glomeraceae. The record is from RNAcentral.